Molecule: long non-coding RNA, 1120 nt
Organism: Lycium barbarum (goji berry)
Lineage: Eukaryota; Viridiplantae; Streptophyta; Magnoliopsida; Solanales; Solanaceae
Exons: 4
Source: RefSeq, a predicted model, not a curated record
CAACGUGUCGUUAACGUGAACCACCAGCACAUCCAUCGGAUUUACAUCGCCUCACAAUCUCAGUUUCUCACUUCAAAACCAAUGUUAACCCUUUCUCUCUCCAAAAAAAUGGCAUCUUCUCCGGUACUAACUGCUCCAUCAUCGACGCCCCUAUCAACUUCUCCACCGUUUAUCAAAUACCGCGUCGUUUCCUCUCGGCCUUUCGAUUUUGAUUUUGAUCGGACAGUUGAAAAAGGUGCUGAGGUGGCAAAAAUUCAACAGAUAAACAUGACGGCGCGGCGCCGGCGAUGGGGAAGAAGCUAAUCUCCAUUCAUAAGUCAUGAAAUUUUGUGACGAAAAUUAUUUAAUCUAAUAAUCCAGUACGGUGAUUUCCACUUGAAGAAUGCUGUUUGUGCGUUUUUCAUGGAGAUAAAUUGAAAUUUGUAAAUGAAAGGACUAAGUAGGGCUUCCGAGAAUCCUAUUUGUGUACUUACUGUUUUCAAAAAAUGGAGAAUACUGCGAAGCAGAGGAAUUUGGUUACUGUAUAAGGAAAGAGUCUUGGCCGUUGAGUAAACUCCCGAAGGACGCUGCCGUCGGUGACCAGAAGUCACGGGUACAGGCCAUUGUGAAGGAACUGAGGGAGAUGUACGUGAGUGGGAAGACGAAGGAGUACGCGUGGAGAGUGUCACAGUUGAAAGCUCUGUUUAAGAUUGUUGAGUUUUGCGUGAAGGAGCGUCGCGAGCAUCUGACAUGUCUAAGACUGAACUUGAUUGUUCCAGAGUGUUGGUGGCAAUGGACAGAAGAAAUGGAUGGCGUGAAAGAAGAGGUAGGUAAGAGAAGUUAUAUAGUGAGUAAAGGUGCCAUAUAAAUUGUGUACAAAGAUGUACGACAGAUGCAUGACGGAGCUGAAUUAUUUUACUUGCUCGAGCUUAUCCAUGACCAUUUGAAGAAGCAACUCCUCCACAAAUAGUCCACAACUUUAAGUGUGCUGAUGAAUUAGUGUUGUAUGGAUAUAUAUAGAGUAUGAGCAGAGUUCGACAUGUUAAAUGCAUAGACUCUGAUGUUUUUUUUUUUUGGAUCUGUACAAUAAUUUGAAAUUAUUUAUUGGGUCCGUAUAAUGUUGCUUUCUAUGUUUUAUUUA